UUUUAUUGGGUCUAAGGGUCCGUAGCCGGUUUGAUCAGUUCUUCGGGAAAUCUGACAGCUCAACUGUUAGGCUUCCGGGGAAUACUGUCAGACUUGGGACCGGGAGAGGUAAGAGGUACUACAGGGGUAGGAGUGAAAUCUUGUAAUCCCUGUGGGACCACCAGUGGCGAAGGCGUCUUACCAGAACGGGUCCGACGGUGAGGGACGAAAGCUGGGGGCACGAACCGGAUUAGAUACCCGGGUAGUCCCAGCCGUAAACGAUGUUCGCUAGGUGUCAGGGGCGGCGCGACCGCUUCUGGUGCCGUAGGGAAGCCGUGAAGCGGACCACCUGGGAAGUACGGCCGCAAGGCUGAAACUUAAAGGAAUUGGCGGGGGAGCA
RNAcentral lists this ribosomal RNA (379 nucleotides) under uncultured Methanococcoides sp. RNAcentral describes it as "SSU rRNA". It matches the Rfam family "Archaeal small subunit ribosomal RNA", at positions 499 to 878 of the family's 1478-position model. The record is from RNAcentral. Lineage: Archaea; Methanobacteriati; Methanobacteriota; Methanomicrobia; Methanosarcinales; Methanosarcinaceae.